Molecule: ribosomal RNA, 814 nt
Filed under: Sarcocystis cruzi
Lineage: Eukaryota; Apicomplexa; Conoidasida; Eucoccidiorida; Sarcocystidae
Description: SSU rRNA
Rfam family: Eukaryotic small subunit ribosomal RNA
Source: RNAcentral
GCUAAUACAUGCGCAAAUAUCCUUUUUCGCAAGAAAGAGGAUAGUGUUUAUUAGAUACAGAACCAAUACACCAUCUGUUAACAGCAGGUGGUGUAAAAAAGGUGAUUCAUAGUAACCGAACGGAUCGCAUUAUGGUCAUUUUAUAUGGCUGGCGAUAGAUCAUUCAAGUUUCUGACCUAUCAGCUUUCGACGGUAGUGUAUUGGACUACCGUGGCAGUGACGGGUAACGGGGAAUUAGGGUUCGAUUCCGGAGAGGGAGCCUGAGAAACGGCUACCACAUCUAAGGAAGGCAGCAGGCGCGCAAAUUACCCAAUCCUGACUCAGGGAGGUAGUGACAAGAAAUAACAACACUGGAAAUUUUAUUUCUAGUGAUUGGAAUGAUGGGAAUUUAAACCCCUUUCAGAGUAACAAUUGGAGGGCAAGUCUGGUGCCAGCAGCCGCGGUAAUUCCAGCUCCAAUAGCGUAUAUUAAAGUUGUUGCAGUUAAAAAGCUCGUAGUUGGAUGUCUGCUGGAAGCAAUCAGUCCGCCCUAUUUGUAGGGUGUGCACUUGAUGAAUUCUGGCAUCUAUAUCCCAAUAAUAUGAUGGUGUAUACCCUGUGUACACCCAUCUAUAUUGGGAUAAUACCGUUACUUUGAGAAAAUUAGAGUGUUUGAAGCAGGCUAAUUGCCUUGAAUACUGCAGCAUGGAAUAACAAUAUAGGAUUUCGGUUCUAUUUUGUUGGUUUCUAGGACUGAAAUAAUGAUUAAUAGGGACAGUUGGGGGCAUUCGUAUUUAACUGUCAGAGGUGAAAUUCUUAGAUUUGUUAAAGACGAA